Long non-coding RNA from Zingiber officinale, 515 nucleotides. RefSeq lists it as uncharacterized. Lineage: Eukaryota; Viridiplantae; Streptophyta; Magnoliopsida; Zingiberales; Zingiberaceae. The transcript has 3 exons. The record is from RefSeq and is a predicted model, not a curated record.
GUGAGCAUUAUGGCAGAGCUAGUAAUGUCCGCAUCACCUUCAAAUGUGAUCUUGGACUGUGAGGCUGGAUCGAAGCUAGGGAAGUUGAAGGAGAGCGAGGUUGCCAAUGGCACAACUAUUGCCAAGAAGAGAACAGCAAAAAGAAAUGGUUUGUGGGAGAGCUUCGAGCUUCUUCCAAAACUUGUAAAUCAGGCAUACAAGGACAUGUAGACCGAACAUGGUCAAAGUCUUCUGUUCAAGACUUGAAAGGUCAUUAUCUAUUUGGAAGUCAAAGAGGCUAAUUUUACCAAUACAUUUAAUGGGAAAAGGACAAGUGGCAGUAUUGAAAGGGCUAAAGCUCCCAAGAAAGACCAACCACAAUCAAUAAGAGGUCAACCGCAAUAUUUUAAACUAUACUAAUUGUUUCUCAUUUUUUUUUAGUUUCUCUUUUAAUUAUCAAGUUUCACUGACCAUUAUUAUUAAACUAUGCCUCUAAUUUUAUUAUAAUUACAUCCAUUAAUCUGUUAGCGUUUUUU